UGUCUGAGUGGUCACGUAUGACAUCAGGACCUCCUAUGCACAUGUGGGCGUGGUCACGUAUGACAUCAGGACCUCCUAUGCACAUGUGGGUCACUUCAGGGUCGCAUUCAGUUCAUACUCAAAACUGAUAGAAGUUGCAUUUAAUGUGAAAAAUGAACGAGCAUACAAAAAAAAAAUCAAA
Long non-coding RNA from Sphaeramia orbicularis (orbiculate cardinalfish), 181 nucleotides. RefSeq lists it as uncharacterized. NCBI's taxonomy places the organism in Eukaryota, Metazoa, Chordata, Actinopteri, Kurtiformes, Apogonidae. The transcript has 3 exons. The record is from RefSeq and is a predicted model, not a curated record.